Molecule: ribosomal RNA, 254 nt
Filed under: uncultured bacterium
Lineage: Bacteria
Description: partial 16S ribosomal RNA
Rfam family: Bacterial small subunit ribosomal RNA
Source: RNAcentral
GACAGAGGGUGCAAACGUUGUUCGGAAUUACUGGGCGUAAAGCGAGUGUAGGCGGUGUGGUAAGUCGGAUGUGAAAGCCCCGGGCUCAACCCGGGAAGUGCACUCGAUACUGCCACGCUAGAGUAUCGGAGAGGUUGGUGGAAUUCUCGGUGUAGAGGUGAAAUUCGUAGAUAUCAGGAGGAACACCGAGUGGCGAAGGCAGGUCUCUGGGCAUUAACUGACGCUGAGGAGCGAAAGCAUGGGGAGCGAACAGG